AUAAGUGGGAGCUUCGGCGCAA
This 22-nucleotide small nuclear RNA is filed under the name Arabidopsis thaliana (thale cress). Its description in RNAcentral is "snRNA_10135". The record is from RNAcentral. Lineage: Eukaryota; Viridiplantae; Streptophyta; Magnoliopsida; Brassicales; Brassicaceae.